This 460-nucleotide ribosomal RNA is filed under the name uncultured bacterium. Its description in RNAcentral is "partial 16S ribosomal RNA". It matches the Rfam family "Bacterial small subunit ribosomal RNA", at positions 338 to 795 of the family's 1533-position model. The record is from RNAcentral.
CCUACGGGGGGCUGCAGUGAGGAAUAUUGGUCAAUGGACGAAAGUCUGAACCAGCCAAGUAGCGUGAAGGAUGACUGCCCUAUGGGUUGUAAACUUCUUUUAUAUGGGAAUAAAAUGUUCCUCGUGAGUGCUUUUGUAUUUGCCCUAUGAAUAAGAAUCGGCUAACUCCGUGCCACCAGCCGCGGUAAUACGGAGGAUCCGAGCGGUAUCCGGAUUUAUUGGGUUUAAAGGGAGCGUAGGUGGAUUGUUAAGUCAGUUGUGAAAGUUUGCGGCUCAACCGUAAAAUUGCAGUUGAAACUGGCAGUCUUGAGUACAGUAGAGGUGGGCGGAAUUCGUGGUGUAGCGGUGAAAUGCUUAGAUAUCACGAAGAACUCCGAUUGCGAAGGCAGCUCACUGGACUGCAACUGACACUGAGGCUCGAAAGUGUGGGUAUCAAACAGGAUUAGAUACCCUAGUAGUC